This is a non-coding RNA of Phoenix dactylifera (date palm), 829 nucleotides long. NCBI's taxonomy places the organism in Eukaryota, Viridiplantae, Streptophyta, Magnoliopsida, Arecales, Arecaceae. The record is from RefSeq and is a predicted model, not a curated record.
UUUAAACACAUAAUAUACAUUGAGUAGGGGAUUUACUGUUGAAAUUUCAGCUCAAAUGGAUUAGCCUACAGCCUGGAACAAAGCAAGUUAGGUGAGUCCCUCGGAAGCCUGUCAUUACAGAAAACUGCAGACCUAGAUUUGUCCAAAAUUUCUAUAAAAAGUAGGAAGCAUGACGUGGCCUAAAACCUAGUUUUUAAAACCCCUGGGAACCACUCUUUUGACACGUUAGGUGUCUGGGAAGCUAACGUGUCAAAAGGGGGGGUGUCUAGCAUGUUUCAGCAGGCAGCAACUUGUGCUGCUGCUGUUCAACCGUUAGGAGUUCAGUGGUUGGUUGUAGGUGCCAGCCCAAAUCAGGCCAGGAAAAGCUCCAGGGAGGGAGAGAGGAAGCUAGGGAAGAGAGAGAGCUACUUGGGGAAUCCAAAUAAUUUGUGGAAGAAGGUUUAAAGUAAAGAGGAAGAGCAACUUGCUGUUGGGCUGCAGAACAGAAAUACAGAAAUUUUUGGUGCACCCAGGCUUCCUAGCAAAUUUCAGGAGGAGAAGAGAGUCCCGGAAGUGUGCCGGGAGUAUCAAGCACUAGGGUGGUGCGUUAGCCAUCACAAGAUCGGCAGAGUCAUAACAUUAUAAAAGUACCGCAUCAGCAUCAUCCUAGAAGUUUGUCAUAGAAGGUUGGCCAUGCCCCUCUGAGUGAAAGGAAAAAAAACCUUUGUAUUAUGCAUAUAGUUGGGGUGUGAAUGUAAACUAACUUGAGACAGAUGUAAAGUUUGUUAUAUUUUGAGCUAUGUAUAGUAGACUUUAAGUUAUCAAUGAAAGCUUGGGUUGCUUUUAGUUA